RNAcentral lists this ribosomal RNA (484 nucleotides) under uncultured bacterium. RNAcentral describes it as "partial 16S ribosomal RNA". It matches the Rfam family "Bacterial small subunit ribosomal RNA", at positions 30 to 507 of the family's 1533-position model. The record is from RNAcentral.
AUUGAACGCUGGCGGCAGGCCUAACACAUGCAAGUCGAGCGGAUGAAGGGAGCUUGCUCCUGGAUUCAGCGGCGGACGGGUGAGUAAUGCCUAGGAAUCGGCCUGGUAGUGGGGGAUAACGUCCGGAAACGGGCGCUAAUACCGCAUACGUCCUGAGGGGGAAGGUGGGGGAUCUUCGGACCUCACGCUAUCAGAUGAGCCUAGGUCGGAUUAGCUAGUGGGUGGGGUAAAGGCCUACCAAGGCGACGAUCCGUAACUGGUCGGAGAGGAUGAUCAGUCACACUGGAACUGAGACACGGUCCAGACUCCUACGGGAGGCAGCAGUGGGGAAUAUUGGACAAUGGGCGAAAGCCUGAUCCAGCCAUGCCGCGUGUGUGAAGAAGGUCUUCGGAUUGUAAAGCACUUUAAGUUGGGAGGAAGGGCAGUAAGUUAAUACCUUGCUGUUUUGACGUUACCAACAGAAUAAGCACCGGCUAACUUCGUG